Epinephelus moara (kelp grouper) is the source of this 682-nucleotide long non-coding RNA. RefSeq lists it as uncharacterized. Lineage: Eukaryota; Metazoa; Chordata; Actinopteri; Perciformes; Serranidae. The transcript is spliced from 4 exons. The record is from RefSeq and is a predicted model, not a curated record.
AUGGCUCUGUGGCGCCAUCUAGUGGAGCUAAAUGCUAAUAACAAGUCCUGUCCCUCCUACUUCCUGUAGCUACUGUAGCCUCCAUGUUCAAAGGCCAUCAGAGGCAGCACACCAAAUAAUUAAACUGCAUAUGUUUGAAUUGUAACUCUCAUACUGAAUUAAUUUACCAAGGUUGUGGAUAAAGGUGAGUUUGAGGCAAUAUUUGAAAUGCAGUUGCCUAAAAAUGAAUGAUGAUAGUUCCUAAACUUGACUUGUAUGAAUACAUUACUGAAUAUCUGAAUGUUUGUUACAGGCUUACUGGCACCAGGAAGCAGACUCCCCACACCUGAGGGUGCAUGUGCUUCAUAACUCCCCACCAGACCAGGACCAGGUGAGCAGUCAGGUGAGCAGUCAGGUGACCUGGCCUCGUAGGUAUUUGAAGCGUCCUGUGACACAGCCAGACCACAACAGACUUGAGUGAUUUGUGUCUCUUCUUAUUUCACAUUCUGUGAGCGGGCUUAGCGUUAGCUUGGCCGUCAGUGGCUAACACUAUCUCUGGAUGGUGGAGUGUGAGUGCCUCCAUCUUCGUUUUGAUGAACUUCCUGCCAAAUGCUACUGACUGAGACCUCUGCUGACCUCACCAGGAAAAAAACAUCAGCACCAUCUAGUGGCCCGAAAAAGCAACUGACUUUAUCAUUCUAGC